GACGAACGCUGGCGGCGUGCUUAACACAUGCAAGUCGAACGCUGAAGCUUGGUGCUUGCACUGGGUGGAUGAGUGGCGAACGGGUGAGUAAUACGUGAGUAACCUGCCCUUGACUCUGGGAUAAGCCUGGGAAACUGGGUCUAAUACUGGAUACGACAUGUCACCGCAUGGUGGUGUGUGGAAAGGGUUUUACUGGUUUUGGAUGGGCUCACGGCCUAUCAGCUUGUUGGUGGGGUAAUGGCUCACCAAGGCGACGACGGGUAGCCGGCCUGAGAGGGUGACCGGCCACACUGGGACUGAGACACGGCCCAGACUCCUACGGGAGGCAGCAGUGGGGAAUAUUGCAAAAUGGGCGGAAGCCUGAUGCAGCGACGCCGCGUGAGGGAUGACGGCCUUCGGGUUGUAAACCUCUUUCAGCACGGAAGAAGCGAAAGUGACGGUACGUGCAGAAGAAGCGCCGGCUAACUACGUG
This 472-nucleotide ribosomal RNA is filed under the name uncultured bacterium. RNAcentral's name for it is "partial 16S ribosomal RNA". It matches the Rfam family "Bacterial small subunit ribosomal RNA", at positions 28 to 507 of the family's 1533-position model. The record is from RNAcentral.